UGUGCCAGCCGCCGCGGUAAUUCCAGCUCCAAUAGCGUAUAUUAAAGUUGUUGCAGUUAAAAAGCUCGUAGUUGAACCUUGGGCCUGGCUAGCCGGUCCGCCUCACCGCGUGUACUGGUCCGGCUGGGCCUUUCCUUCUGGGGAUCCGCAUGCCCUUCACUGGGUGUGUCGGGGAACCAGGACUUUUACUGUGAAAAAAUUAGAGUGUUCAAAGCAGGCCUUCGCUCGAAUACAUUAGCAUGGAAUAAUAGAAUAGGACGUUGCGGUUCUAUUUUGUUGGUUUCUAGGACCGCCGUAAUGAUUAAUAGGGAUAGUCGGGGGCAUCAGUAUUCAAUUGUCAGAGGUGAAAUUCUUGGAUUUACUGAAGACUAACUACUGCGAAAGCAUUUGCCAAGGAUGGUUUCAUUAAUCAGGAACGAAAGUUAGGGGAUCGAAGACGAUCAGAUACCGUCGUAGUCUUAACCAUAAACUAUGCCGACUAGGGAUCGGGCGAUGUUAUCAUUUUGACUCGCUCGGCACCUUACGAGAAAUCAUAAGUUUUUGGGUUCUGGGGGGAGUAUGGUCGCAAGGCUGAAACUUAGAGAAAUUGACGGAAGGGCACCACCAGGCGUGGAGCCUGCGGCUUAAUUUGACUCAACACGGGGAAACUCACCAGGUCCAGACACAAUAAGGAUUGACAGAUUGAGAGCUCUUUCUUGAUUUUGUGGGUGGUGGUGCAUGGCCGUUCUUAGUUGGUGGAGUGAUUUGUCUGCUUAAUUGCGAUACGAACGAGACCUUAACCUACUAAAUAGCCCGGCCCGCUUUUGCGGGUCGCUGGCUUCUUAGAGGGACUAUCGGCUCAAGCCCGAUGGAAGUUUGAGGCAUUA
Molecule: ribosomal RNA, 866 nt
Filed under: uncultured fungus
Lineage: Eukaryota; Fungi
Description: SSU rRNA
Rfam family: Eukaryotic small subunit ribosomal RNA
Source: RNAcentral